Cotesia glomerata is the source of this 1218-nucleotide long non-coding RNA. RefSeq lists it as uncharacterized. The transcript is spliced from 2 exons. The record is from RefSeq and is a predicted model, not a curated record. NCBI's taxonomy places the organism in Eukaryota, Metazoa, Arthropoda, Insecta, Hymenoptera, Braconidae.
CGUAUAUAAAUUUGUCGUGGUGCAUACUCGCAUGCGCUAGCCUCAGGAUCGAUAGACGCGACCACCGGGUCCGCGUAUUACAUGUAUGACGUCACACGGGCCUGACAGCUAGCGAAAAGCCGCGAUUAUUAACGGAGUGUGCCGAGGGAAACCGAGGGUACGCGAACCGGGUGAAACCAUCCCCAUACGAGCCUUCUUCCAUAUCAUCCACUAUCAUAAUCGGGGAAAAAUAACGUUAACGCAAACGCAAACAACCACGACGACAUCCUAUUCAAUGUACUUGUUUUAACGUCACUCAUAAACAAUUCGUAAUCUAAAUAACUGCAUUAUUAUUAAUAUUAACAUUAGUAGUAACAAUAAUAACAACAAUAAAAAUAAAACUAACAAUUGUUUAUUUCAAUAAAUAUAUUUUUUUACGUAGGUAAGGAUUUGUCAAAACACGAUCAACAUUACCGGCUGUGUAAUUUCAAUUCGCAAGAUAAUGAUAAAGUAAAUUCUGUUAUUUUUUUUUUUUAUUUCAAGUGACAAGUGUGUACUCGGCUUACAACAAUCCAAGUAAUUAUUAUUCAUAAUAAAUAAUAACUUAAUUUUAAAGAUAAAUUAUAAAUUAAAAUAUAAGAAAACAAAAUGGCGGGAUAUCGUGUUGAUAAUUAUUAACGAUCCGCGAGAUAAUAUUAAAAACUCAAGGUGAACAGUGGUGAGUUGAUGCAUAAAAUAUAAAAUAAUAAUUAUUAAUAAUAAUGACUAACUAGGACAAUAAAUAAAUAAAUGAAUAUUAACUAUAUUAUAAUAAAUUAUUAGGUAAAUAAAUGUCGAGUGUUAAAAAAUAGUGAUAUCGUCGCAUUGCCCUGCAGUAGCUGUUGGCGCAGCUGAGCCAGAGCACACAACUUAGACAUCCUAUGUCGUACAUACACACCUACAUCUAUAUACAUUGAUACAUUGAUACCAACAACCAGUAGGGCUCUAUAUAUAUUGAGGACAACAUAUACAAGUAAAGGCACGAGGUGAAGUGGGUGGUGUUGAGCUAACACGACCCACAGCCCUACAUUUGAGGACAACUAGUGCAAGCUAACCUUACAAUAUUAUAACGUCUCUGCGCACGAUUACAUUGCUUACAUACAUUUUUAUACAUCAGUCAAUUGUGGCAGUAUCCGCUGUGUCCUGCUUUUUUUAUGAAAACAAGUGUCACAAGUGAGUUUUGUAUCCUGAAUUGUCGUC